Passer domesticus (house sparrow) is the source of this 428-nucleotide long non-coding RNA. RefSeq lists it as uncharacterized. The transcript is spliced from 3 exons. The record is from RefSeq and is a predicted model, not a curated record. Lineage: Eukaryota; Metazoa; Chordata; Aves; Passeriformes; Passeridae.
GUGCAGUAGCCCAUAUGCCUCUGACUCUGGGCCGCGUCCUACUGUUCCUUCAGUCCUUCCUGGAAUUCUUGGCUUGGACUUUUGUUUUAUUUGUUUGUCUCAGAACAACACUGCCAGGAUCUGAGCUGCCUUCUGGAGCAGGAAAGAAUAAGGGAACAGAUGGCAGAAAUUUCCCAAGGGAGAAAAGAGAAUUACUAGAGAAGAUCAGGAUCAGACCUGCACAGGUGAUCAUGAAAUCAAAAUGCCUGGAAACUCAAUUUCUCAAGGUCGAUAUAACCCAUGCCUAGAACUUUUCCUGAACAUUGGGCUUGCCUGGAGAUGACAUUGAAAAGUUCCCUUAUUACAGGCAGACAGCUGAAUGCCCUCAAGCUGAAAGUAAGACCUUGCUUGACUUAGAAAAUGAAUGUCAUUUUUCUGGUAUUGUUAUU